UACGUAGGGUGCGAGCGUUGUCCGGAAUUAUUGGGCGUAAAGAGCUUGUAGGCGGUUUGUCGCGUCUGCAGUGAAAAUCCGAGGCUCAACCUCGGACUUGCUGUGGGUACGGGCAGACUAGAGUAUGGUAGGGGAGACCGGAAUUCCUGGUGUAGCGGUGGAAUGCGCAGAUAUCAGGAGGAACACCGAUGGCGAAGGCAGGUCUCUGGGCCAUAACUGACGCUGAGAAGCGAAAGCAUGGGGAGCGAACAGG
RNAcentral lists this ribosomal RNA (253 nucleotides) under uncultured bacterium. RNAcentral describes it as "partial 16S ribosomal RNA". It matches the Rfam family "Bacterial small subunit ribosomal RNA", at positions 524 to 776 of the family's 1533-position model. The record is from RNAcentral.